UAGGGAAUCUUCCGCAAUGGACGCAAGUCUGACGGAGCAACGCCGCGUGUGUGAAGAAGGUCUUCGGAUCGUAAAGCACUGUUGUUAGAGAAGAACGCCCGAAUGAGUAACUGCAUUCGGGGUGACGGUAUCUAACCAGAAAGCCACGGCUAACUACGUGCCAGCAGCCGCGGUAAUACGUAGGUGGCAAGCGUUGUCCGGAUUUAUUGGGCGUAAAGGGAGCGCAGGCGGUGACUUAAGUCUGAUGUGAAAGCCCACGGCUCAACCGUGGAGGGUCAUUGGAAACUGGGUCACUUGAGUAUAGAAGAGGAAAGUGGAAUUCCAUGUGUAGCGGUGAAAUGCGUAGAUAUAUGGAGGAACACCAGUGGCGAAGGCGACUUUCUGGUCUAUAACUGACGCUGAGGCUCGAAAGCGUGGGGAGCAAACA
This 427-nucleotide ribosomal RNA is filed under the name uncultured Facklamia sp. Its description in RNAcentral is "bacterial SSU rRNA". It matches the Rfam family "Bacterial small subunit ribosomal RNA", at positions 355 to 774 of the family's 1533-position model. The record is from RNAcentral. Lineage: Bacteria; Bacillati; Bacillota; Bacilli; Lactobacillales; Aerococcaceae.